Molecule: transfer RNA, 66 nt
Filed under: uncultured Mediterraneibacter sp.
Lineage: Bacteria; Bacillati; Bacillota; Clostridia; Lachnospirales; Lachnospiraceae
Rfam family: tRNA
About the family: Transfer RNA (tRNA) molecules are approximately 80 nucleotides in length.
Source: RNAcentral
AACGUAGCUCAGUUGGUAGAGCACCUGCCUUAUACGCAGUAAGUCAAAGGUUCGAUCCCUUCCGUU